UACGUAGGGUGCGAGCGUUAAUCGGAAUUACUGGGCGUAAAGGGUACGCAGGCGGUUAUAUAAGACAGAUGUGAAAUCCCCGGGCUCAACCUGGGAACUGCGUUUGUGACUGUAUGACUAGAGUACGGUAGAGAGGGGUGGAAUUCCUGGUGUAGCAGUGAAAUGCGUAGAUAUCAGGAGGAACAUCGAUGGCGAAGGCAGCCCCUUGGACCUGUACUGACGCUCAUGCACGAAAGCGUGGGGAGCAAACAGG
RNAcentral lists this ribosomal RNA (253 nucleotides) under uncultured bacterium. RNAcentral's name for it is "partial 16S ribosomal RNA". It matches the Rfam family "Bacterial small subunit ribosomal RNA", at positions 524 to 776 of the family's 1533-position model. The record is from RNAcentral.